Molecule: ribosomal RNA, 460 nt
Filed under: uncultured bacterium
Lineage: Bacteria
Description: partial 16S ribosomal RNA
Rfam family: Bacterial small subunit ribosomal RNA
Source: RNAcentral
CCUACGGGAGGCAGCAGUGAGGAAUAUUGGUCAAUGGACGAGAGUCUGAACCAGCCAAGUAGCGUGAAGGAUGACUGCCCUAUGGUUUGUAAACUUCUUUUAUAUGGGAAUAAAAUGUUCCACGUGUGGGAUUUUGUAUGUACCAUAUGAAUAAGGAUCGGCUAACUCCGGGCCCGCAGCCGCGGUACUACGGAGGAUCCGAGCGUUAUCCGGAGUUAUUGGGUUUAAAGGGAGCGUAGGGGGAUUGUUAAGUCAGUUGUGAAAGUUUGCGGCUUAACCGUAAAAUUGCAGUUGAAACUGGCAGUCUUGAGUACAGUAGAGGUGGGCGGAAUUCGUGGUGUAGCGGUGAAAUGCUUAGAUAUCACGAAGAACUCCGAUUGCGAAGGCAGUUCACUGGACUGCAACUGACACUGAGGCUCGAAAGUGUGGGUAUCAAACAGGAUUAGAUACCCUGGUAGUC